UGUAAGCGUAUACCAAAGUUGUUGCAGUUAAAACGCUCGUAGUCGGAAUUUGGCAGUUCCGGAUGUGUGCACGUCGUGUGCGCACUUCGCGGGGAUUGCUUUUGUGGUCUUGCGUAGGAUGAGGCACUUUUAUUAGUGAACGUCCUCACGCAACCACUUUUUACUGUGAGAAAAUCAGAGUGCUCAAAGCAGGCAUUUGCCGUGAAUGUAUUAGCAUGGAAUAAUAGAAUAGGACUUGGUUCUAUUUUGUUGGUUUGUUGGGACUGAGUAAUGAUUAAGAGGGACAGUUGGGGGCAUUUGUAUUUCGGCGCUAGAGGUGAAAUUCUUAGAUUGGCGAAAGACAAACUGCUGCGAAAGCGUCUGCCAAGGAUGUUUUCAUUGA
This 382-nucleotide ribosomal RNA is filed under the name uncultured eukaryote. Its description in RNAcentral is "partial 18S ribosomal RNA". It matches the Rfam family "Eukaryotic small subunit ribosomal RNA", at positions 592 to 976 of the family's 1831-position model. The record is from RNAcentral.